This 429-nucleotide ribosomal RNA is filed under the name Gemmatimonadota bacterium. RNAcentral describes it as "Gemmatimonadetes bacterium partial 16S ribosomal RNA". It matches the Rfam family "Bacterial small subunit ribosomal RNA", at positions 355 to 776 of the family's 1533-position model. The record is from RNAcentral. Lineage: Bacteria; Pseudomonadati; Gemmatimonadota.
UAGGGAAUCUUCGGCAAUGGACGAAAGUCUGACCGAGCAACGCCGCGUGAGUGAAGAAGGUUUUCGGAUCGUAAAACUCUGUUGUUAGAGAAGAACAAGGACGUUAGUAACUGAACGUCCCCUGACGGUAUCUAACCAGAAAGCCACGGCUAACUACGUGCCAGCAGCCGCGGUAAUACGUAGGUGGCAAGCGUUGUCCGGAUUUAUUGGGCGUAAAGCGAGCGCAGGCGGUUUCUUAAGUCUGAUGUGAAAGCCCCCGGCUCAACCGGGGAGGGUCAUUGGAAACUGUGAGACUUGAGUGCAGAAGAGGAGGGUGGAAUUCCAUGUGUAGCGGUGAAAUGCGUAGAUAUAUGGAGGAACACCAGUGGCGAAGGCGGCUCUCUGGUCUGUAACUGACGCUGAGGCUCGAAAGCGUGGGGAGCAAACAGG